AGAGUUUGAUCCUGGCUCAGAAUGAACGCUGGCGGCGUGCCUAACACAUGCAAGUCGGAUGUGCCGCAAGGUGCAUGGCAGACGGGUGAGUAACGCGUGGGGAAUCUACCUCUUUGUGGGGAAUAACGCUCCGAAAGGAGUGGUAAUACCGCAUGAGAUCCAUGGCUGGGAUGCUGUGGAUGAAACCUGGGGACCGCAAGGCCUGGGGCAAGGAGAGGAUCCUGCGUCUGAUUAGCUAGUUGGUGAGGUAAUGGCCCACCAAGGCGACGAUCAGUAGCCGGCCUGAGAGGGUGAUCGGCCACACUGGAACUGAGACACGGUCCAGACUCCUACGGGAGGCAGCAGUGGGGAAUUUUGCGCAAUGGGCGAAAGCCUGACGCAGCAACGCCGCGUGGGUGAUGAAGGUCUUCGG
Molecule: ribosomal RNA, 412 nt
Filed under: uncultured bacterium
Lineage: Bacteria
Description: bacterial SSU rRNA
Rfam family: Bacterial small subunit ribosomal RNA
Source: RNAcentral